CCCCCAGAGCUGCUGAAUCAGAAACUCUGGUGUUGGGGUCCAGUAGUUUGUGUUCUUACAAGCUUUCCAGGCGAUUUCAUGCUUCCUGAAGUUUGAGAACCAGUACGAUGUGCUGUAAGACAGUGCACCUCAUGGAUUGCUUAUACCACAGAUGGACUGCUCCCAUGCCUCAUCUUUGACUUGCCUCUACCAAUCACUGCUUUUGACAUCAGGCUAAAUGCAGUAUCCUAUAUCUUCUUAUUGGGCAAUACAGAAGAUCAAUGGGGAAAGCAAGAUACAUGUUUUAAAAUAUAGAAUACCAGAAUGCAUUCUAAAUUGUGCUCAGGGCUGUGUCUUCAUUCCUUCAGACAAGAGCCAAAAGUAAAAGGAACAUUCUCUUUAAUGGUUGUAACUACAUUGAUUUUUUUUUUAUCAUUGUUGUCACAGAAGAUGUAAAAGAUUUUUUCAAGACGAUUCUUUUCAUGAUGAUGAUAACAUUUAUAUUCUACUAGCCUUAUAGAGAGAAAAAAAGCAGAAUGUAUGUCUCUUAUUGUGUAAAAACAAUGGAGUUGUUGCAUAAUGAAGUGGAAAAGAAAGUAAGUGAACACAAUAUCAUUAUAGUAUAUUAUAAGCCAUUAACAGCAUGUGAGAAAUAAGUGAGUUUUGUUUGAUUGUCCAAAGUUCUUUCAAAGUAGCUGAAUAAGUAGUUGAUACUUACACUGUAAAGAGAUUUUCUAAAAAAGUUGAAGAAAUAACUUUUGUGGUUCUAAGGCAGAUCCCUUAAAAUAUGAGAAAAAUGAAUUAAAAAAAUGAAGAGUGCAGCUACUCAAGAUGUUAUUGUUUAUCAAAAUGUAUUAACAAUUCAUGAGGUGAAUGAAUAAAGUCCUUCCCAUAUGA
Molecule: long non-coding RNA, 876 nt
Organism: Felis catus (domestic cat)
Lineage: Eukaryota; Metazoa; Chordata; Mammalia; Carnivora; Felidae
Exons: 3
Source: RefSeq, a predicted model, not a curated record